CAGCCGCCGCGGGAAUACGGAGGGUGCAAGCGUUACUCGGAAUCACUGGGCGUAAAGGACGCGUAGGCGGAUUAUCAAGUCUCUUGUGAAAUCUAACGGCUUAACCGUUAGACUGCUUGGGAAACUGAUAAUCUAGAGUAAGGGAGAGGCAGAUGGAAUUCCUGGUGUAGGGGUAAAAUCCGUAGAUAUCAAGAAGAAUACCUAUUGCGAAGGCGAUCUGCUGGAACUUAACUGACGCUAAUGCGUGAAAGCGUGGGGAGCAAACAGGAUUAGAUACCCGCGUAGUCCCUGUCUCUUAUAC
This 301-nucleotide ribosomal RNA is filed under the name uncultured bacterium. Its description in RNAcentral is "partial 16S ribosomal RNA". It matches the Rfam family "Bacterial small subunit ribosomal RNA", at positions 509 to 807 of the family's 1533-position model. The record is from RNAcentral.